ACGUGAUUACCCGCUGAACUUAAGCAUAUCACUAAGCGGAGGAAAAGAAACUAACAAGGAUUCCCUUAGUAACGGCGAGUGAACAGGGAUAAGCCCAGCACCGAAGCCUGUGGCCGUUUGGCCCCUAGGCAAUGUGGUGUUCAGGUUAGCUCGCGGGGAUGCUGCUCCACCCUAAGUCCUAUAAUGAGUAAGGUUACUCGGACAUGGCCCACAGAGGGUGAAAGGCCCGUGGGGGUGGAGACUCAGAUUGGCCAGUAUCUCCCUGAGCAGACCUUGGAGUCGGGUUGUUUGUGAAUGCAGCCCAAAGCGGGUGGUAAACUCCAUCCAAGGCUAAAUACUUGCACGAGUCCGAUAGCGAACAAGUACCGUGAGGGAAAGUUGAAAAGUACUUUGAAGAGAGAGUAAACAGUGCGUGAAACCGCUCAGAGGUAAACGGGUGGAGUUGAACUGCAAGCUCUGAGGAUUCAGCUGGUGAGUUUGGCAUGAGCUUGGUCAUGUGGGUUGUGUGUUCGGGUCUGCUUAGCUGCAGGUCCUCGCCUUUGGUGGGGAUGCGCGUAUCGCUUAUCAAGCGUUGUGCGCCCGUUCUUAUCGGACCUGCUUGUCAGUGCACUUUCUCAG
This 618-nucleotide ribosomal RNA is filed under the name Euparyphium albuferensis. RNAcentral's name for it is "eukaryotic LSU rRNA". It matches the Rfam family "Eukaryotic large subunit ribosomal RNA", at positions 15 to 501 of the family's 3401-position model. The record is from RNAcentral. Lineage: Eukaryota; Metazoa; Platyhelminthes; Trematoda; Plagiorchiida; Echinostomatidae.